AGCUGAAUAAUAUUGUUCCAGCAACAAAUAUUUGUGAGCAAAACUACGGUUAUAAUCCCAUACAGUCUAGUAAUAGCCUAUAAUAUAGUAAAUCCUAAAGGGAACAGGGAAAGAAGAGUCAACAGCAUGGCCCUAAUAAAAAGUCCUAGCUUAAAUUAGGAAUUAUACAAGCAUUAUUAUAUAUACUAAAAAUGAAUCCUCUGGCACUUUUCCUCUUUUUUUUUAUUAUUUUUUCUAAGGCUGUUUAA
Molecule: unclassified non-coding RNA, 248 nt
Filed under: Hevea brasiliensis (rubber tree)
Lineage: Eukaryota; Viridiplantae; Streptophyta; Magnoliopsida; Malpighiales; Euphorbiaceae
Source: RNAcentral